GAUGAACGCUAGCGGGAGGCUUAACACAUGCAAGUCGAGCGGGAAGGGUAGCAAUACCCUGAGAGCGGCGCACGGGUGCGUAACGCGUAUGUAACCUGCCUUAUACAGGGGGAUAGCCCAUGGAAACGUGGAUUAACACCCCAUAGGACUGGAAUUUCGCAUGGGAAUUCAGUUAAAAUUACGGUGGUAUAAGAUGGGCAUGCGUCUGAUUAGGUAGUUGGUAGGGUAACGGCCUACCAAGCCGACGAUCAGUAGGGGUUCUGAGAGGAUUACCCCCCACACUGGUACUGAGACACGGACCAGACUCCUACGGGAGGCAGCAGUGAGGAAUAUUGGUCAAUGGGCGAGAGCCUGAACCAGCCAUCCCGCGUGCAGGAUGACGGCCCUAUGGGUUGUAAACUGCUUUUCUGCUCCAAGAAACCUGAUUACGAGUAAUCAGUUGACGGUAGAGUAGGAAUAAGCAUCGGCUAACUCCGUG
RNAcentral lists this ribosomal RNA (478 nucleotides) under uncultured bacterium. RNAcentral's name for it is "bacterial SSU rRNA". It matches the Rfam family "Bacterial small subunit ribosomal RNA", at positions 28 to 507 of the family's 1533-position model. The record is from RNAcentral.